Trichobilharzia regenti is the source of this 38-nucleotide non-coding RNA. The record is from Rfam. Lineage: Eukaryota; Metazoa; Platyhelminthes; Trematoda; Strigeidida; Schistosomatidae.
UGACGAGUCCCAAAUAGGACGAAAUGCGCAUCCUGGAU